RNAcentral lists this long non-coding RNA (961 nucleotides) under Anser cygnoides (Swan goose). RNAcentral describes it as "lncRNA (ENSACDG00005016392.1)". Lineage: Eukaryota; Metazoa; Chordata; Aves; Anseriformes; Anatidae. The record is from RNAcentral.
CCGGGCCGCCCCCGCCCCGCUCCGCCCCGGGGCCGUGCCGCCCCACAGCCCGGCCCCAUAAAGAGGCCGAGGAGGGAUGGGGGUGGCCCCUCUGCCCUCCCCCGGUGCGCCCUGCCCCGUGCGCCCUGCCCCGUGCGCCCACCCCGGUGCCCCCGGUGCGCCCUGCCCGGUGCCGGGGAUGCUUCGCCGCCGCGGAGCCUUCAGCGUGGAGCGGCUCCGGGGGCUCGGGCCCGGCUCCGGCUGGGGCGGGUAUAAAAGGCAGCGCCGGGACGCGUGCCCGGCACUCGGCUCUCGGCGAUGUGGGGUGGCUCCCGCGCCGUCUGGAAGAGGAGGUGCAGCUGCUAUGGUCCCUGGGAGACGGCGGAGAGCUGCGUGGUGCGCACGUCCGCCAGCGUCUACCGUCGGCUGCACGAGAGCCCCCGGAGCCCCCCGGUGGGGAUGAGCGGCGAGGAAUCGGGCGCUUGGGGCCCCCCGCAGCCCCGGCCAGCCCCGGGCAGCCCCCAGGCGAGCGGGCGGCUCCUCAAGUCGGAGUCGGAGGACUCCGGGGUGGAGAUGGCGAGCAACGAGAACUCGCCCUCCACCCCGCUGGGCUCCGAGAGCAGCUUCUCCCUCGAUGGCUUCCAGCCAGCCCGCGGGGACCCCCAGAAGAGCCCCCCGGGAGGGGAACGUGGUGCUGAGCCCCCCCGGCCCCUCCGCAGCCGCUCGGCCAGCAGGAAGCCGGGGCAGCAGCGCAGCAGGAGGCAGCGGCAGCUCAGCCGGCGCAGCACCAGCGCUGGGGACCCCCGGGGGCUUGGCGCCGAGGAGCCCGAAGCAGCCGGGGCCGAGGCAGAGGGGGCAAUGCCGGGGCAGGGGCUGCGGUACCUGGAGCACAUCUGCCAGAUGCUGGAGCGCGUGGCGCGGCUGCAGCAGGACAACCGGCUGCUCCGGCAGCAAGCGGCGGGCGCCCGGCGCGCCGGCACCA